AUUGAACGCUGGCGGCAGGCUUAACACAUGCAAGUCGAGCGGAGAGAGGUAGCUUGCUACUGAUCUUAGCGGCGGACGGGUGAGUAAUGCUUAGGAAUCUGCCUAUUAGUGGGGGACAACAUUUCGAAAGGAAUGCUAAUACCGCAUACGUCCUACGGGAGAAAGCAGGGGAUCUUCGGACCUUGCGCUAAUAGAUGAGCCUAAGUCGGAUUAGCUAGUUGGUGGGGUAAAGGCCUACCAAGGCGACGAUCUGUAGCGGGUCUGAGGGGAUGAUCCGCCACACUGGGACUGGGACACGGCCCAGACUCCUACGGGAGGCAGCAGUGGGGAAUAUUGGACAAUGGGCGCAAGCCUGAUCCAGCCAUGCCGCGUGUGUGAAGAAGGCCUUAUGGUUGUAAAGCACUUUAAGCGAGGAGGAGGCUACUUUAGAUAAUACCUAGAGAUAGUGGACGUUACUCGCAGAAUAAGCACCGGCUAACUCUGUGCCAGCCGCCGCCGUAA
Molecule: ribosomal RNA, 501 nt
Filed under: uncultured bacterium
Lineage: Bacteria
Description: partial 16S ribosomal RNA
Rfam family: Bacterial small subunit ribosomal RNA
Source: RNAcentral